UCCCCUACGGGACGCAGCAGUGGGGAAUAUUGCACAAUGGGGGGAACCCUGAUGCAGCGACGCCGCGUGGGUGAAGGAGUAUUUCGGUAUGUAAAGCCCUAUCAGCAGGGAAGAACAAUGACGGUACCUGACUAAGAAGCACCGGCUAAAUACGUGCCAGCAGCCGCGGUAAUACGUAGGGGGCAAGCGUUAUCCGGAUUUACUGGGUGUAAAGGGAGCGUAGACGGUCCUGCAAGCCAGAUGUGAAAGCCCGGGGCUCAACCCCGGGACUGCAUUUGGAACUGUAAGGCUAGAGUGUCGGAGAG
RNAcentral lists this ribosomal RNA (305 nucleotides) under uncultured bacterium. Its description in RNAcentral is "bacterial SSU rRNA". It matches the Rfam family "Bacterial small subunit ribosomal RNA", at positions 335 to 656 of the family's 1533-position model. The record is from RNAcentral.